RNAcentral lists this ribosomal RNA (496 nucleotides) under uncultured bacterium. RNAcentral describes it as "partial 16S ribosomal RNA". It matches the Rfam family "Bacterial small subunit ribosomal RNA", at positions 28 to 506 of the family's 1533-position model. The record is from RNAcentral.
GAUGAACGCUGGCGGCGUGCCUAAUACAUGCAAGUCGAGCGAACAGAUGAGGAGCUUGCUCCUCUGACGUUAGCGGCGGACGGGUGAGUAACACGUGUAUAACCUACCUAUAAUACUGGGAUAACUUCGGGAAACCGGCUCUAAUACCGGAUAAUAUAUUGAACCGCAUGGGUCAAUAGUGAAAGACGGUUUUGCGGUCACUUCUAGAUGGAUCCGCGCCUCAUGAGCUAGUUGGUAAGGUAACGGCUUACAAAGGAAACGAUGCCUAGCCGAGCUGAGAGGGGGAUCGGCGCCUGAGGAGCUGAGACACGGCCCAGACACCUACGGGAGGCAGCAGCAGGGAAUCUUGCGAACUGGGCGAAAGCCUGACGGAGCAACGCCGCGUGAGUGAAGAAGGUCUGCGUAUCGUAAAACUCUCUUCUGAGUGAAGAACAAAUGUGUAAGUAACUAUGCGUGUCUGGACGGUAUCGAAACAGAAAGCCACGCUAACUUAGGU